RNAcentral lists this ribosomal RNA (212 nucleotides) under uncultured bacterium. RNAcentral describes it as "partial 16S ribosomal RNA". It matches the Rfam family "Bacterial small subunit ribosomal RNA", at positions 29 to 222 of the family's 1533-position model. The record is from RNAcentral.
AACGAACGCUGGCGGCGUGCCUAACACAUGCAAGUCGAGCGAGAAAGUCCCGGCAACGGGAUGAGUACAGCGGCGAACGGGUGAGUAACGCGUGGGUAAUCUACCCUCCAGCUCGGGAUAACCUGCCGAAAGGUGGGCUAAUACCGGAUGAUGUUCCCGUGGGGAUCCUGCGGGAAGCAAAGGGGGCGGAGCGUAAGACAGCUCUCACUGGA